GUCUCUCCGGGCACCGCUGCUUCUCAGCUCCAUGACUCGGCGAGUGACCUCCCUCCUGUCGGCUUGGGAAGCCCUGCACCCGCGCGGUUGAAGGCACAGAGCCCACGCCUCUGCCGUGCCCAGGAGAUCAUCCUGGAGCCCCCUGGAGUUUCCCUAGGCUGUCACAGCUUCUGCAUGGUACCUCAAAUUCUCCCGCCAGACCCUUUCACCGAGAGGCCAGAGCAAAUGAGAGGUGGCACAGGAACACAGAGCACCUGUCCCAAUGACUCCAUGCUGUGUGACACUGGGCCAGCUUUGCUUGACCCAAGGCUGUGUCUCCCUGGAACAGGGAGCACAGCACCUGCCCGCGGGGAUGAGGCUGAGAGCUGGUAAGCCUGGCCAUCUGGAAGGUGUUUCAAGAAAACAAAAAGCCCUUCAGGGCAGUCACACAGGGUGGUUAUUUCACUUUAUUUAGCACACGUCGGUCUCACGCUGGGCCCCACCAAACUGCUCCCCUAAGCCUUACUCGAGGGUCUGCCUUGGGAGGCUCAGAGGUGAACAUGAAGGCCCAGGUUCCACAAUCACCUCCUCUUCUGCCACACAUGCAGCGCAGCACAGAAAUCACUGCUCGUGUCCUCAGGCACCACCCGUGUGGUCGGGGAGGGUCUCCAAUGUUCAAGGCCACCUACUGGGGCCCCAGCUCAGCUCCAGCCACAGGCCCACUGCUCUUGAGAUGCUGGCAAUGGGCAAGGGCCUCUGUCCAUGGCUGUGGGAACACCAAACCCUUACUCCCCAGCCCUACAGCCUGUCCCUGCUGGGCAAGAAGCAAUAUGUAUGAAAAUACUUUAAUUAUUUCUUUUAAACUGUUAAGAAAUAAGGUCAUCUUGUUUUUCUUUUACAAUCCCAGUAAAAAAAAAAAGUUCACAUUAGUGCAGGGGGCCAACACCAGGCCC
Long non-coding RNA from Myotis daubentonii (Daubenton's bat), 932 nucleotides. RefSeq lists it as uncharacterized. The record is from RefSeq and is a predicted model, not a curated record. NCBI's taxonomy places the organism in Eukaryota, Metazoa, Chordata, Mammalia, Chiroptera, Vespertilionidae. The transcript is spliced from 2 exons.